GACGAACGCUGGCGGCGUGCCUAAUACAUGCAAGUAGAACGCUGAAGGAGGAGCUUGCUCUUCUGGAUGAGUUGCGAACGGGUGAGUAACGCGUAGGUAACCUGCCUGGUAGCGGGGGAUAACUAUUGGAAACGAUAGCUAAUACCGCAUAACAGUAGAUGUUGCAUGACAUUUGCUUAAAAGGUGCAAUUGCAUCACUACCAGAUGGACCUGCGUUGUAUUAGCUAGUUGGUGGGGUAACGGCUCACCAAGGCGACGAUACAUAGCCGACCUGAGAGGGUGAUCGGCCACACUGGGACUGAGACACGGCCCAGACUCCUACGGGAGGCAGCAGUAGGGAAUCUUCGGCAAUGGACGGAAGUCUGACCGAGCAACGCCGCGUGAGUGAAGAAGGUUUUCGGAUCGUAAAGCUCUGUUGUAAGAGAAGAACGAGUGUGAGAGGGAAAGUUCAC
Molecule: ribosomal RNA, 452 nt
Filed under: Streptococcus sp. oral taxon 064
Lineage: Bacteria; Bacillati; Bacillota; Bacilli; Lactobacillales; Streptococcaceae
Description: bacterial SSU rRNA
Rfam family: Bacterial small subunit ribosomal RNA
Source: RNAcentral